RNAcentral lists this ribosomal RNA (367 nucleotides) under uncultured bacterium. RNAcentral's name for it is "partial 16S ribosomal RNA". It matches the Rfam family "Bacterial small subunit ribosomal RNA", at positions 338 to 722 of the family's 1533-position model. The record is from RNAcentral.
CCUACGGGUGGCAGCAGUAGGGAAUAUUGCUCAAUGGGGGAAACCCUGAAGCAGCAACGCCGCGUGCAGGAUGAAGGUUUUCGGAUUGUAAACUCCUUUUGUUAGAGAAGAUAAUGACGGUAUCUAACGAAUAAGCACCGGCUAACUACGUGCCAGCAGCCGCGGUAAUACGGAGGGUGCAAGCGUUACUCGGAAUCACUGGGUGUAAAGAGCGCGUAGGCGGGAUAGCAAGACAGAUGUGAAAUCCUAUGGCUUAACCAUAGAACUGUAUUUGAAACUGUUAUGCUAGAGUAUGUGAGAGGUAAGUGGAAUUUUUGGUGUAGGGGUAAAAUCCGUAGAGAUUAAGAGGAAUACUCAUUGCGAAGGC